Molecule: long non-coding RNA, 2912 nt
Organism: Lynx canadensis (Canada lynx)
Lineage: Eukaryota; Metazoa; Chordata; Mammalia; Carnivora; Felidae
Exons: 3
Source: RefSeq, a predicted model, not a curated record
GCUUAACCAACUAAGCCACCCAGGCGCCCCGCUCUUUCUUCCUUUCUUGCUGUUUUGCAAUAGUCCAGAACGUUCUGAACAUGGUUAGAGAUUCCCAGACCAUCCCACCUGGAAGUCCUCCAGCCUUCCCUGCCACCCCAAGGUGGGCCCAAAAGCACCUUUCUUCUAGACUGCUGCCUGCUUGCUUUCAGACCAUGCCUGAGUCCUGGAGGUCCCACACAGGAGUCCCUGUUGACCAAAAAAUCAGUUAGUUCUUGUCACCAGGGCUCUCCUGGAGUAGUGGUAGGAGGGGGGCCAGCCAGAGUGGGGACCUGGGAGUCCACACACUGGGCUUCCCCUGGCCACAAGGAGAGGACUGGGGCCUGGAGGCCACCUGGAACCCAAUGUGCCUUCAAAGGCUGCCUUCCUGGGCCAGAGGCUCAGCACAUGUGGGCCCAGGUUUCCUGUCACAGAGGGGCUGCCUCCCUGCUCCACAAGACUGGGAUUCCACUGUGGCCAGAUGGGGCCCUACAGAUGUGCUGGGGAGGUUAUCAGGUACCCUCAGCCCAGACCCGCCCACAUUCAGGAAAGGAAGAAGGGUGUGACUUCGGCGUAUUCAGAGGUUGCAGUGGCUCCCCAGAAAAGCCAGAACGGGGGCCAGGCCUCUGGCAGUGUGCCCGCCCUACCCCUGGGACCCAGGGGCUACAGAUCAAGGAGCAGAGAGCACAGCCCAGCCUGAAAGGAGAAUACACCCACACCCUCUCGAUGUUCCACCUGGCCCCAAGAUCCCAUCUGGUGGGAAGGAACCAAGCAGGAGGCAGGAGGGCAGCCCCCUCUACAGCCAGCUGACUUUCGUUUUCCAGGGAAGUGUUGAAAUCUGCAGUGGGUGAAAGAAUAUAUUUUGAAUUCACUUAAAAAAAUAUCAUAAAGGAAAAAGUCAGCGUCUUUAAAAUCCAGGCUUCCUAAAAAAAGGAUCAUGUGCUUUGGUGUAUUGUGAGUGAUAUAAUUCUGAUUUCCUUGGGGAAAGAUGACCAAGAGAAGGCAUGAGAAAGGCUUCAAGAAAACCUGUUCCUGCCCAGCAGUGAGGUUGGCCUGAACUUCCAGAGGCCUGGCUGCAGGUACACUAGAUAUGGGAGGGACACAUCUGGAUCCUGUACCCUGGGAGCCACAGGUGACCUUUCCUGGGGAUUCUGCAGAUGGCCACAUCUGUGGUCAUGCAUUCAUCCAUUCACUAAAGAUUUAUUGAGCACCUACUAUAUGACGUGGACUGUGCUGUGCUCUGGAAAGGCAACGAGGAGCCACAACCACAGCACACACCCUCUCGGAAUUUUGUCAGGGGUGGGCAGGGACCAGCCCGGGGUGGAGGAAGUUCAGGGGGGGCUUCCCUGAGGAGGUGAAGCUUGGACUGGACCUUGAUGUCUGGAUGACAGUUCAUUCAGUAGGAGGAGGUUCAGGCAGUGGGAACAGCAUAUGCAAAGGCCAUGAGGUGAGUGCUCUGCUCCCCUGAGGGACUGAGGAAAGUCAGAGAAGGCAGUGGGCUAGAAAGGUAUGGGUGAGGCUGGGGGGUGGGCAGGGCCUGGUGGCUGUGGUAAUAACUUUGGCCUCACCAAACGUCCGCAUGAAUCCAGGGGAGUGUUUUAAACAAGAGGGUGGCACCAGGCUGUAUUGUACAAGUCCCCUGGAGGGACUGCAAUGGCAGUAAAGCCAUUUGGUGGGUGGAUCCAUUUCCUCCCUCCUGACUUUCCUCCCUCUCUGUUAAGACUUCCAGCCACACCUGCUUUUCUCUAAACCAGACCUAUGCAGUCUUGCUUGCAUAUCACCUCAUGCAGUCCUCUCCAUGUGGCAUUUGAAGCAUCUCUCUCCUGCAUUUUUGCCAGUUAAACUGGCAUUCCCCGCCCCCCUCCUCCACCCCAGACCUGUAGAAAUACCGACCUCCUCACCCAAUCACUCCCUGGCUGGCCCUUGACCAAGUGGAUAUGCAUCUUCCCACUGUGAAAACCAUUUGUUUUCAAGUUUGUUGAGCCAUGUGGCUGCAUGAGUUCUGGGCAAGCCACUGCGUGUAUGGUGUGCUGGCCAAUCGUGUGGACCUAGGACAGCUGCCUGGAGCCCAACUUGCCUUUGCUCCCUCCCACCUGUGUGACCUCCCGUCAAAUACCUCAUCUCUCAGGCCUCAGUUUCCCCAUCUACAGGAUAGACACAAUGAUCUCUGUGAGGAUGGUUGGGAGAAUUCACAGAGCCAGCCUGUAGGAGGACGUGCUCAGAACUGGGUGCAGCCCACAGAAGAGCUCCAGAAACGUCUGAUUAUUACCACUGGGCAAAUGGCACGUGCCUGGGCACCAAAACAUUUUUGGCAAGAACGUGAUGUUUCAAAAUAGGCGUUGUAUGUUGCCAGCAUGAGAAAAGUCAGGACUCCAUUGGACUUCGUGAUCCUUGUUUGAUGGUUAAGGUUAUUUUUAUUUACAGUGAUAUCUCAGUGCUUAGAGCCUGUAGGGUUCUAGGCCCUCUGUGUUCAUCUCGCCCAUCCCCUCAUCUCUCAGGAGGACCCUGGGCUCAGAGGGGAUGAGGGGGGUGGUUGUUCUAGGCCAGCCAGAGAGAAGAUAGCAGGGCAGCGCUCUUAUCUCCUGGUCAUCCCAUCUCAGAGUAGAUGCUUGUCCCCCGCCCCCCGCCCCACUGCCGAAGACAGUGAGCCUCCUGAACAGAAGUGAGUUCCUUCUAUCCCUAUCUCUAUGCUGCAUUUCUCUGAAGGUUCAGGCCUCUGGAAGGGGGCUUAGUUACCCAAUUUGGGGGAGCCACUGGACACACAGAGGCUUCCCACACUGUGGACACACCAGGACCCAGAAGAAUUCUGUGGCACAUCUCAAGCCAAAGGAUCCUCCAGCCCAGGGUGACCUCGCUGGUCUCAUGGGGAGGGCCCUGGUAGAUACUUGCUCACC